This 2771-nucleotide long non-coding RNA is filed under the name Fragaria vesca (wild strawberry). RNAcentral's name for it is "long non-coding RNA (FVES_LNC001694)". Lineage: Eukaryota; Viridiplantae; Streptophyta; Magnoliopsida; Rosales; Rosaceae. The record is from RNAcentral.
AUUUACAGUAACAUAUUCUUACUUCUAUUUCUUCAACUUUCAUUUUCUCUAGUUUUUUCGUGGAAUUCUGGUAGAUUCCAUUUUGUCGCACCCUGGCAUCAUUUCUUCUCUGCCGUCAAUCUCUAUAAGCAAUGCAUUUCUCUCGCAUAUCCAGUACUAAAAAAAACCAAACAGAUAUAAGUAACACACAGAAAAACAAAAAUGAAUUGCAUAGUAACAGUAGCAGUAGUGAAGUUACCGGAAUUAGUGUCGUACACCCACUGAUUUGAGUUGCUUGUCCAUUUUUGGCAGUAUUCAAACAGAAAAGAAGGUAGUCUCUCACACCUUUUGCCCAGUUAUAAUUGUUCAUGUCCGCUAUGCACUUAAUGAAGCUCCAUCCUAAUUUCGAUCCAGCGCUUGCAAACAGUUGCGUGAUGAACAAAUGCAAUAUCAUUAAUAUUGCAAUAUUCUCUAUCCGUUCUGGAGAUUCUUCAUUGUCUAGCUCAGCAUCAAUACAACUCAUUAUCUUUGCUCUUUCAAUCCUUUUUUCUUCGGCAAAAAACCUUUGAACAAUAGGAUUAUCAGUUGGCUUCCUUGAACCAUCUUUUGGGUUUGGCACUGUGAGGCCUGACAUAGGCAAUCCCGAAAUGUAAUGCACAUCAGACACUGAUAUUUCAGCCAAAUGUUUGCCAAACCUGAACUUCUUUAGAGACGUGUCAUAGCAUUGAACUAUUCUAUGCACAUCUUUAUCUGACUUUUCAGCUGUGGCCUUUUUCAUCAAUCCCUUAUCAUAUAGUGCAAUCAGGUUCCAAAAUGGCGUCUUCUUCAACACUUCUCUCAAUAGCAUUCUUUCUUUGGUUUUUAGCUUCCCAUAUAUCUUGAAAACCAGGUCUUGGAAAGCAGUCAUAUUGCACUUGUAUUGGCUAUAUGACUGUUCUUUUUCAAAACGUGCUGGAGCUUUGAUUCUCUUUAGUCCUUUUUGCACCUGCAGACAGUAGCAUAUUCAUAUUCUCACAUUCCAAAACGCACAAACAUUCUAAGUAAAUGCAGUAGCAACUACAAAUUAAAUCAACAGACCGCACAAUUCAUAACAACAAACACUUGCUCAAACAGUAGCAUAGAACUAAUAUCUGUAGCCUGGACUCGAUCCAGAAAGCCAGAACUAGUUGCAUAGAAAUAAAUCAUAUAGUAGGUAAUAAAUAUAUGACUUCUGUGCCUCAAAACUCACAGACUCACAACCACCAGUCUCCAAAACUAUUCACACACACAGCACCACAACAAGUCUUGAGGUUACACGAUUCCACAAAAUUAUGAAGACAUGCAUAGACUCAUGAAGACAUGCAUAGACUCAUGAAGAACAAAGUAGAAGAAACAACAUAUUCCAAGUUUCGACACUAUAAACAACAUCAAUAGUAUAAUUACAACCAAUUUUCAGACAGUAGCAUUUUGCACCUGCAGACAGUAGCACAUUCAUAUUCUCACAUUCUCAAAUUCAAAAAACACAAACAUUCCAAGUUAAUGCACAUUCAUACAUAAUUACCUUGUUGUUUUUGUCCAUAUCUUUGUGUACAAAAGCUGCUACUGUCCUGUAAACUGUGAAAAUCACACCAUUAGAGUCUGCUUCCCCACCUUCAACACAAUUACAUUCAUAAAAUCAUUAGAGCCUGCUACUUCCAUAAAUCAAGCUGUACUGCUACUUCCAUAAAAUGAAAGAUGCUACUGAUUUUCUCCCAAUCAAAGCAAAAUCAUAGGAAUCGUUUCGAUAUCGAAGGAAACAAGGUUACUGCUACUGGUUUUCUCCCAAAAACGAAACCAAAGACCAAGAAGGCGAUAAAAGAAAUUGAACCAGAACAGUAGCAGAGAGAGAAAGAAGAGCAGUAGCAUCACUUACCAGAGGAAUUGCAGAGAGAGGUUGAAGAAGAUGAAGGCGAGAAAACCCUAGGCACGGUGAGAGGAGACGGAAGGAAGGAGACACUGCGUUUGCUACUGAGCCAGAAUUGGGAAUUUCGGAUCCUUUAUGCGUAGUGCAUCCAUGUAAUUAAAAGAAACGCUACGGUUUUUUGGUCAUUUGCAAACGCGUUUGUGGAUCAGGCCUGGUGCCAUGGACCAUGGGCCCGAGGCUCAUGUAGUAAUCUGUUAGAAAAUUAUUGGAAGUGGGGUUUUUGUUAUUCUAAAUUUGGUCAUGUGCUACUAUGUAAUUUUCUCUUUAUCAAAUGAGCUUCUACCUACAGUGGCAAAACCAGAAUUUGGAACCUGAGGGGUCUUGAUAUAGCAUAUAAAACAUAAUGUUCAGCUUCAUGAUCUACCUUGGCAGCAGUUGAAUUCGAAACAUUAGAAAACAUACUUGGUCUAAUAGUUUCGCCUAUUAUAUAUCCUUGAUUACAAAAUAAAACUUAAGAAGACCAAUGUUCGACUAUGAUCGAGGCAUGAUCGAUCAUAGUCUGAUUUUCUCCAUUUCGCUCUUUGAAUGGAAAGAAGUUAUAAUUUAUAGAUUUACUUUCGUCUUGAUUCGAUCUAAACAAACGAGAUUUAUAAAUAAGUUGUAGUCAAUUCAAAUCAAUGAAGUUUGUAACUACCAAGUAGUUUACAUAUAUAUAAUUAGGCUAGGGUUUUAGAAGAACUGCAAAACCUUGAGAAUUAUAUAUAUUCGUCGAUGGCUUGAAUUCCCAAGUGGAUUUCGAUCAACAUGCAUGUCGAUGGCUUUAAUUCUCUAAUUGUGGAUUACUAAUUGCCAUGUGUGGGGAUGGCUAAAUAAACCGAAUUGUGACCAUUUGAAUUGACUAGCUAGUUUU